AACCUUUACAAUGUGCGAAAGCAUGAUAAGGGAACUCCGAGUGCCAGCAUCUAAUGUUGGCUGUCCUUGUGCCUAAAACGCACAAGAUAGCAAGGGCCGGGUAAGACCGGUGCCAGCCGCCGCGGUAACACCGGCGGCCCGAGUGGUAGCCGCUAUUAUUGGGUCUAAAGGGUCCGUAGCCGGUUCGAUAAGUCCUCUGGGAAAUCUGGUUGCUUAACAAUCAGACUGCCAAGGGAUACUGUCGAACUUGAGACCGGGAGAGGUAAGAGGUACUUCAGGGGUAGGAGUGAAAUCUUGUAAUCCCUGGGGGACCAUCUGUGGCGAAGGCGUCUUACCAGAACGGGUCUGACGGUGAGGGACGAAAGCUGGGGGCGCAAACCGGAUUAGAUACCCGGGUAGUCCCAGCCGUAAACGAUGCUCGCUAUGUGUCAGGUACGGUGUGACCGUAUCUGGUGCCGUAGGGAAGCCGUGAAGCGAGCCACCUGGGAAGUACGGCCGCAAGGCUGAAACUUAA
This 514-nucleotide ribosomal RNA is filed under the name uncultured archaeon. RNAcentral's name for it is "bacterial SSU rRNA". It matches the Rfam family "Archaeal small subunit ribosomal RNA", at positions 345 to 859 of the family's 1478-position model. The record is from RNAcentral.